Molecule: small nucleolar RNA, 88 nt
Organism: Telopea speciosissima
Lineage: Eukaryota; Viridiplantae; Streptophyta; Magnoliopsida; Proteales; Proteaceae
Source: RefSeq, a predicted model, not a curated record
UGGCAAUGAUUACAACUUAUCCGCGCUUCUGAGAGAAAUCUAUGAAGCAAAAACAAAAAAAGAUGGUUGAAUUUCUUAAUAUGAGCCA